AUCCCACUAGAGGAGCCUGUCCUAUAAUCGAUGAUCCCCGUUCAACCUCACCCCUCCUAGCUUUCAGCCUGUAUACUUCCGUCGCCAGCCCACCACAUGAGCGCCCCUCAGUGGGCUCCUUGCCUAUUCGCACUAACGUCAGGUCAAAGUGCAGCUAAUGGAGGGGGAAGAGAUGGGCUACAUUCUCUAGCGUAGAGUAUACGAAUGACUGCAUAUGAAACCCAGUCUGAAGGCGGAUUUAGAAGUAAAGAGGAAUCAGAGUGCCCUCUUUAAAUUGGCUCUGAGAUGUGUACACACCGCCCGUCACCCUCCUCAAAGCCUUUAAACAGUAAUUAACAACUAACGGCGCAAAAGAGGAGGCAAGUCGUAACAUG
This 374-nucleotide ribosomal RNA is filed under the name Craugastor aff. decoratus JWS-2013. Its description in RNAcentral is "partial 12S ribosomal RNA". It matches the Rfam family "Bacterial small subunit ribosomal RNA", at positions 923 to 1495 of the family's 1533-position model. The record is from RNAcentral. Lineage: Eukaryota; Metazoa; Chordata; Amphibia; Anura; Craugastoridae.